AUAGUUUCGUGCGAUUUCUCAAUUACCACUGCGAACGCGCUUCUCUAAGACUCUGGCAUGGCUAGUUAUAAUACUUGACUACAAAAUCCCCGAAAUGGCAUCAAGGAAAGGAUUUGAAGUAUUUGUUUCUAAAUUGUCAUGGACUGUCGGUGUGCACCAGGUUUCGGAACCAUAGGUCAUUGCCGGUAGAACACAUCGAUUAAAACUGUUCUUUUAAGCAAAGAAGUAAUCCGGAGUGGUCCAAGACUUUCGAUAAGAUCGAUUGCCAUCUGUUGCAAGUACACCCUGAGCCACAAUAAGAAUUGGAAGUGGAAUAGAGUUACACUCGAGAAGACUACACAUAACCAUCCAUGCGGCCUGGUCAGCGAAGAAAUUCAUGGAGCAGGAAUUAGUUGUAGAGGAGAAAGUUGCUUGGAACUUGAAAGGCAUCCGCCCAUCUGCACGCAGCUAUCUGAUGGUGAGAUGAGGUCUGAUGUCACUGUCGAAUGGCCAUGCAAGUCGACUGACUUCCUCCAUCCACAAAAGGACUCAAUUUUAGUACGAAGAGUAGGACGUGGAUGGUAGACUUCUGUUGACGAGUAUCCUGAAAAUACCAUGGUGGAAAGUUCUCCCGAUGUAGUCCAUCAUGCUGAGGAGGUGAUCAAGAUCAAGUUGAUCUUCCGCUUGCCUGAGGAACCUUGGGGAGGGAGCAGGGAAGGGAGGGUACUAGAGCAUAAAGUAAAAAGGGUAUAAAAAUUUCCAAACCCAAGAAGUAAUCUCCAACUCUGGAUACGUGAAAAGGGUAUUAUAAAGGCUAGAGAAAACAUGAAAAAUACUUGUUUAGGCGGGUAUCGUUCCUUUGAGAAGGGAUCUGAAAUGAAGAAUGUUUACUUUAGGGUCAAUUUUGAAAGUCCAUGGACGAGCAUACAUCCAUCCAUUCAUUCAACCAUCCUUCUAUCUAUUCACCCAUUUAUUCAUUCAUCUAUCCAUCCAUUAAUCUAUCCAUCCAUUCAGCCAUCCAUCCAUUCAUUAAUAUUCAUGCAUGCUCACAUACAUGCAUUCAUCUAUCUAUCCAUCCAUCCAUCCGUCCAUCCAUCCAUUCAUUAAUUCAUGUAUGCUCGCAUACAUUCAUUCAUCCGUCCAUCCAUCCAUCCAUUCAUUCAUUCAUUCACUCACUUAGCCAUUCAUUGAUUUGUGUAUGACCACAUGCAUUCAUUUAUUUAUUUAUCCAUCCAUCCAAUCACUCAUUUGUUCAUUCAUUCAUUCAUUUAUCAAUCCAUCCAUUCAUUAAUUCAUAUACGAAUGUCAAAUGAAAAAAAAUUGUAAUAUAUUUAUAUAUUGUAAUUUUUUUAUGUUGUCUGAUAUUGAUUACUUCCUCUCUUUGAUUUAUGUUUAUUCAGUGCCCUGGUAUAUUUACUUCUUUUAGGGUGAUUAUCUUCAUUCACUCUUGGUGCACAGGUUAGAUGCAGAAGUGUAGAAAAUUUGUAGACCAUACAACCUCUCAGAUGCAAAUUCCAUUACACAUAAAAAAAAAAAAAGACUGCCGGUGAUAAGGCAAAUAUUUCAAUGGACCGUUUUGAAGUGAAUUAAUUUUAUGGACAUUUCUAUCUCUUUUUUUUUUUUUUGGGGGGGGGGAUGGGGUGGGACUAAGUAACGAUAUAUUUCUGAUAUCUGCAUUCUGUACCGACCGCACAGAAACGUUGUUAGUCUAACAGAACGUUAACAGUAAGCCCAGUCACAUCUUCCGGAUUGUGAAGUCAAAACAUGUAUUUCAAUGUGUAAAUAAUGUAUUGUUGUAACAUUAGGCAUCGCUGCCACAUUACCUGCUGUAACAGGGCCUCUGUGAACGCAUUGUUACCCUAACAACGUUUCUGUGCGGUCAGUACUGGUAAUUAUCACCUGACAAAAAAUAAGCUUUAUAGAAUUCGACAAAUAAAAAUGUUUCGUUGUAUGUUUUUGAUUGCUCUCAUCUCCCAAAAGAAUAAAAUACGGUAGGGCUAUUUUUACAAGUGCACCUGGUAAAUCCGAACUAUUAGUUGCUGUGUAAAUGAAAUAUGGCCAAAUUUUUAAAGAAUUGUUAUUUUGCCUUGAUGAUUAAUUAAUAAAUGAUUGUGUUACAACUAUUGGCGGUGAUUCCGGGUGAAGGGAACAUGCCCCCCUUCCCCUUUGAUUUUUAAAAUUUUGUACAGAAGUUUAUUGGAAAGGGCUGUCGUCCAUCCCCCCCCCCCCCCCCCCCCCAUAUGGACCAAAAAUCCCAUGAAAUCGCCGCCAAUGGUUAAGCUCCUUUUGGCUACUUGUAUUUAUUCUAAUACAAAACGGUUUCCUCUCUGCCAUUCUCCCUCUCUUUCUUUCUGUUCAUCCAUCUCUUCCCCUGUCUCUCUCCUCUCCUUUCUCAACUCUUUCUCUCCCCCCUGCAGAUCUUAUUUGCUCAUGAGCAAAGAAGAUGAUCUACCUCUGAAGGGACUUUCACACUUAGUUUUGCGACCGUUUGGUUACAUUAAAAUUUGCCCAUGAUAGUAAUGCCCGCAAUGGUCGAAUGACUAAUUUUGAAAUCCCCUUUAUGUAUAUUCUGCCUACCUCAUUUUCUUUCGGAUUUUGAAAAAUAGUGAAAUGUAUCUUCACAUGAAUUAACUAUAUUCAAAACUUGAGCAAAACAUCUUAUAAUAGAUGUUACAAACUUUGGAAAACUAAAAUUUGUCUAACUAAACAACCUUUCACAUUGCCAAUUUGAAAUAAUAGUCAUUUUUGUUUUGUAAAUUCCAUAUAAUCUUUAUGAAUUGCAUUUCUUAAUGCAUUGAUGAUUAAUUAAAACUAUGAACCAAAUAGGUGACAAAAUACAGGACAUCAUAAAAUACUAUUCAAGCAAAUUUAGAAUAUAGUUCAAAAUCAAAAUGUAUUGAAUAAAAUUAUUUUCAUUUUGUGAAGUUCACUCUUCUAAAAUAUUAAAAACUGAAGAUAUUUCUAAAUGUCGAACUGACAAGAUUCUUGUAACUUAUAAGCUGAAAUUGUUGUGGUUUUGCAUUUCACUAAUUUUACAAGAUAAUCACCGGCAAAAUUGCCACUAACUUGAAUAUUUGGCUUAUACAGUGCAGAAGGUAAUUUGAAUUGUGAGGGUCAUUGAAAAC
Molecule: long non-coding RNA, 3104 nt
Organism: Lytechinus pictus (painted urchin)
Lineage: Eukaryota; Metazoa; Echinodermata; Echinoidea; Temnopleuroida; Toxopneustidae
Exons: 3
Source: RefSeq, a predicted model, not a curated record